UCUCUCUGCAGCACCAGCAGUCAUCACCAGCGUGUCCUGACAGCUUGGCAAAAAUUGCCAAAUGAAAAUGUCUUCUACAACAGUUUUCAGUUUUGCCACCAAAAUUUGACAGAGCCAAGAGCCCGAAGCUGCUUCUGCCACCCUGUCUGUGCUUGGUGACCUGGAAGGGAUCUAGUCAAAUCUCUCUUUAACAGUUCCCCAGCUAUGCUUUCUCUCAUACCAUGCUGCUCCAGAAGGAAAGGGCAGCUCUGAAGGACAUUAGUCCUGAGGAAGUACAGUAGACUACCUCAGCCUGCUUGAGCUUUCCAACCUCAGGCUCUGCUGCUUUUAAUAUAGGCAGAGGGCUGGCAGGUGGGACAUGUGAGAGCAGAAGAGGUGGGUCCAUGGGAAGAGGACAGCCCUCAGCUCCAGUGUUCAGGCACCAGAUGGCAUUUCGUUGGGAACCUGAAGGAUUUCUGCUCUAGGGCUUGUUUUCAGGCUGAGGACAUGUGAGGAAGAAAGAGUCUGAAGAGGCAGAUGGAAUGGAAGAAAAGUCAAAGAGGCUGUAGACAAGUGGACAUGCUGCUUAAAAGAUUGACUGUUGCGUGCUGUGUAGAAAAACUGAAUGAAAGAUGGCACUUCUGUGCACCAGAAUCACAUACCUCCC
Non-coding RNA from Tinamus guttatus (white-throated tinamou), 646 nucleotides. Lineage: Eukaryota; Metazoa; Chordata; Aves; Tinamiformes; Tinamidae. The record is from RefSeq and is a predicted model, not a curated record.